Molecule: ribosomal RNA, 483 nt
Filed under: uncultured bacterium
Lineage: Bacteria
Description: partial 16S ribosomal RNA
Rfam family: Bacterial small subunit ribosomal RNA
Source: RNAcentral
ACUCAAAUGAAUAGACGGGGACCCGCACAAGCGGUGGAGCGUGUUGUUUAAUUCGACGAUAAGCGAAGAACCUUACCAAGGCUUGACAUCCUGCUAAGUUUUCCGAAAGGAAAAUGUGCCUUCGGGCCGCAGUGACAGGUGUUGCAUGGCCGUCGUCAGCUCGUGUCGUGAGAUGUUUGGUUAAGUCCAUCAACGAGCGCAACCCUUAUAGUCAGUUGAAUUUUUCUGGCUAGACUGCCCCGGCAACGGGGAGGAAGGAGGGGAUGAUGUCAGGUCAUUAUUACCCUUACGCCUUGGGCUACAAACACGCUACAAUGGCCGGUACAAAGGGCAGCCAAGUCGCAAGACGGAGCAAAUCCCAUCAAAGCCGGUCUCAGUUCGGAUAGUAGGCUGAAAUUCGCCUGCUUGAAGCUGGAAUCGCUAGUAACGGUAGGUCAGCACACUACCGUGAAUACGUUCCCGGGUCUUGCACACACCGCCCGU